CGUAGGUGGCAAGCGUUGUCCGGAAUUAUUGGGCGUAAAGCGCGCGCAGGCGGCUUCUUAAGUCCAUCUUAAAAGUGCGGGGCUUAACCCCGUGAUGGGAUGGAAACUGAGAGGCUGGAGUAUCGGAGAGGAAAGUGGAAUUCCUAGUGUAGCGGUGAAAUGCGUAGAGAUUAGGAAGAACACCGGUGGCGAAGGCGACUUUCUGGACGACAACUGACGCUGAGGCGCGAAAGCGUGGGGAGCAACAGGAUUAAGAUACC
RNAcentral lists this ribosomal RNA (260 nucleotides) under uncultured bacterium. RNAcentral describes it as "partial 16S ribosomal RNA". It matches the Rfam family "Bacterial small subunit ribosomal RNA", at positions 526 to 786 of the family's 1533-position model. The record is from RNAcentral.